CUCCCCCAUCACCCAAGGGCUUUGCAGGGCGCGGACGGGGGCUCGGAGCGGGGCUGGAUGGGAGGAGGGGCCGGGGCUCCGCCAUCCUCACUCAUUCACCGGGUUCCAACCAACCCCGCCAAGCCCAAAGGCGCCCGGCUGGCACCUCCUGCCCGGGCAUCCCCCGUGCCAGCCUGCGGCACCCGGGAGCUGGGAUGCGACCGCGGGCGUCGCCGCUGCGGGCACCGGCGCCUGCAGCGAGGGCCGGCGGCGGGGCUGGAGGGCUGGAUGCCGCUGAGAGGAUGAGAACAUGGGGCUCAGGUUAUCCUGCCUGAAAGGCCUGAAGAUGUGUGUGAGCAGCGGGAACGGCAGCGAGGGGACCCCGAGGGCGGGACAGAAGCACCUCCACGUGCCCUCCAUCAUCGUCACACCGCCCACGCCCACGGGCACCGCGCUGGCCCGGCGUGGGGAGGGUCCCUCGCCCUGCAGCCCCUGCUGAGAGAGGGGACACCGGGGA
Molecule: long non-coding RNA, 496 nt
Organism: Melozone crissalis (California towhee)
Lineage: Eukaryota; Metazoa; Chordata; Aves; Passeriformes; Passerellidae
Exons: 3
Source: RefSeq, a predicted model, not a curated record